GAGUUCAAAGUGGGUUGGUGGCAGCCCAGCCUCAGGGUCUGGGCGUGGCCAGGGGAGCGUCCUCCCUCAUGGAGCUGAGCUUCAGGUCUCAUGUACCCUAUGAAUUCAUCCCCGGCAGCUCUCAGAUGCAAUUUAUGGAAACUCUCUGGGGACUGCACCAGCCUGGACUGGGAGCCCAGCAAACCUGCCUCCAAGGCCAGGUGAAUGGAAGGGUGUAGACAUGCGUGGUAUUCCCUCGCCCACUGUAGGAGCCGUGGUGCGAACCAGGGCCUGGCCCUCGUGACCGCUCUGGCCUCCUUCCUCUGUCCUGCCGGGCUGUCCGUCCAUCGAUCACUCUGUCAUGCACUUGUGCCUGGCAGUUGUUUUCUAGGGCAUGACUUAGAAAGUGGGACAGGGAUCAGGAUUGACUGGUGAAGACCAAGAGCGCUUCCCCACAGGGCUGGAAAGGUCAUUGGCAGUUUAUUUAUUCAUUCACCCAUUUAGUCAUUCAUUCAAGAUCAUGGCUCUGAUCAAGCGCUGGUGACCUGGAGGCUGGAAGAUACAGGAGGCCCGGUGUCUGCCCUGGCGGCACUCUGAGUCUUCACAAGCCCUGCAUGGGCUGUGCCUUUCGAGGACCAUGAAGCGCAAGCAUCGUCUUCCUUAACCCUCCCCACGACCCUGAGAAGAAGCUCUGGUUCUCGUCCCCCAUCACCCAGACAGGGCUUCGAGGCUGAAAGAGGUUAGGUAACUUCCCCUAACAGUGUUAGAAAACGCUUCUGCCCUGGGAUCCUGGCUCCCCUGGGGUGGCCCGCCCGAGUGGAGCAGCUCAGGAAGAAUAAAAGACACUGCACGUGCCUGUCGUUGCGAGGCCCAGGUGUAGCCGUUGGAGGAAACUCACAGCAGCCAGGAAAGGCGAGGAGGGAAGUGAACACGUCACCCAGGAGGCCGGAGACCGCCACUGCUGACAAGCGCACGCCUUUCCCCGUGUGCCUUUUCUGGAUGCAGCAAGGGAAAGCGGAAGUCAUUCACUCAUUCAUUUAUUCACUCUUUCAUUCAUUCGUUCUGCUGGGCACCAGGCACUGUUCUAGACUCAGGGAAUGUGUAGUAUCAAGUCUCUUCUCUGGGACAAAUUUGAAUUCAACUCAGCCUCCCGGUGGCCAGGUGACUCUGGGAGGUGACUUCGUGUCUCUGGACCUGUGGUAAAGUCUGUAAAGUCAGAAUCAGGAGGCCCAGCUCACCGCAUUGCCAGCAGCCUGGGAGGUGAUGCCUGGCCCGUGCCUUGUGGAUGUGCACCCAGGGUCACAAUGGCGAUCAGCCAGUGGACUCUUCAGGCCGGGCCUCGGUCUUGGUGCCAGCAGGCAGCCUGCCUCUGUGCCUUUGGCUCCCGGAGUCUCUGUUAGAUUUCAAAUCCUGGGCUGCCCCUUGGACAAUGUCUACCCUUGUCCCUCGUUUUAUGUCUUUGGGUCACAAGAGCCAGUCCACACCUGUUCACUUUCCACGGCAGGACCCCAUGAAGUCAGAGAUUUGAAUCCUGGCCUUGGAUCCUAGAGAUGGUGACCCUGGCUUUCUCAUCACCCUCUCUGAGUCUUCCUCUCCUCAGACCUAAAAUAAGGAGAAUGAUAAUGACCUCGCGGGCCACUGUAAAGAGUGAGUGAAAUAAAGACUGCAAAACAGUUAAAUUAGCACGUGGGAGACACCCGAGAAAGGCUGGAGAUUUUAUUAUCUUGAUUCCACUUGGGAGCAAAACGAAAGCUAUCAAAGUUCUGCCUGGGAGGCCUCUUGCAAGUGUUAGGCUGGGGAGCGUGCGAUUAGUGGGUCUCUCGGCCUUACGUUAUCAUCACCGCCAGUCAGAGCAGCGAUGGCUGUGUCUGGGCUGUGAUUAGUACCAUUUUCAAGGUCACUGGUCUCGUCUGCAUCCUGAAGAUACUCUUCCUGUGACCGGCGUCCCAGCCUCUCCCUCUCGCCCUGGCUACCAUAGGCCACACCAGAGGCCGGCACCGAAGUCCCCUCCCAGGGCCCCUCCCCAAAGUUUGAGGAGUCUGUGGUCCCUCCCAAGGGCCCUCAGAACUACCCCCUCCUGAUAAGCGGUCACUUCGCGUCGCCCAGGACAGACCUGGGGAGGGGUGGGGUCGGGCACAGCCUCUGCCGGGCCCACAGGCCUCUGCCUAUGGAGAUAUGGUCGGGGCUCCCUGACAUCAAGUUCAAGGCAGUGAAUAAGAUCAAACCGCAGAGGACAAACAUUAUUCCCAGAUUAAUUCCUUAAAUCCUCCCAUUUCCAUCGAGGAGCAGGUCUCAGUUUGGUGUCAGCAUUACCACUUCUCUGACACUUAACGUUUCUUUCCUUGUAACAAGGAAAAAGCAGCCUCUGUGCUCAGAACCUCCCCGGGCAGCUGUGUCCAGCUAGAAUUUAAUACCUCGUUUGCUUUUGAUUGUGUUUAUUUUCUACCAGUGAUUUCAGUUUAUGGCCUGCAAAAUGGCUUCUCAACUAAGAACGCUGAUGCAACAUUGUCCUUUAAUUUUUAUGUUUCAGUUUAUAUAAGGGAGUCCAUUAGAUAUUUUUUUAAUGUGAAGUAAUAAAUUUUACAAAAUGUGCUUGGCUCACAGUGAAAACCAUAAAUGUAAGAUGCCAAAGACUACCUUUUGGGAAGAAUUAUUCAGAGACAAACAGGAAUCCAGGCGGGGAGUUUUGAGGACACCAGGCAACUAGGAUGCGAAGGAGCUGGGACCACUGGGGAGUCACAUGUCGUAGGCAUCUACUUUCUCUUUCGCUCUUUGCCACCAGCUUGCAAGAUGCAUUUUCCCUGUUGCGCUUGUGAAAACUAGGUUUCAGAGAGAUUAAGUGACUUUCCCAAAGUCACACAGCUAUUUGGGGUAGAGACAGGCCUGGGUCGGUGCCCUUUCCACCUGGCCUGACGCCUCCCUCAUCAAGCUCCCUCUCCCCUCCCCUGCACAUUUGGGGAGCUGAAUCUGCAAGCUCUGAGCUGUUCUUGCGGAGCAAGUCUCUGUCCUCAGUCCUUGACUGAGCCCUGAUUGCUGUAUCUCAACGUGAAGGGGAGGAUUCCUCCUGGUGCUGACCAGUCAUGAAGCGCUGAUCCACCUCCUAGAACUGCAUGGGACUCGGG
Vicugna pacos (alpaca) is the source of this 3101-nucleotide non-coding RNA. Lineage: Eukaryota; Metazoa; Chordata; Mammalia; Artiodactyla; Camelidae. The record is from RefSeq and is a predicted model, not a curated record.